GGUGGAGUGGGUGAGUGGUUAAAACCAUCGGACUGUAAAUCCGACGUCUCUGGCUACGCUGGUUCGAAUCCAGCCUCCACCACCA
Molecule: transfer RNA, 85 nt
Filed under: Chloroflexota bacterium
Lineage: Bacteria; Bacillati; Chloroflexota
Description: tRNA-Tyr
Rfam family: tRNA
About the family: Transfer RNA (tRNA) molecules are approximately 80 nucleotides in length.
Source: RNAcentral